CCUACGGGUGGCAGCAGUAGGGAAUAUUGCUCAAUGGGGGAAACCCUGAAGCAGCAACGCCGCGUGGAGGAUGAAGGUUUUCGGAUUGUAAACUCCUUUUGUUAGAGAAGAUAAUGACGGUAUCUAACGAAUAAGCACCGGCUAACUCCGUGCCAGCAGCCGCGGUAAUACGGAGGGUGCAAGCGUUACUCGGAAUCACUGGGCGUAAAGGGCGCGUAGGCGGGUUAGUAAGUCAGAUGUGAAAUCCUAUGGCUUAACCGUAGAAUUGCAUUUGAAACUGUUAUUCUAGAGUAUGGGAGAGGUAGGCGGAAUUCGUGGUGUAGGGGUAAAAUCCUUAGAGAUCACGAAGAAUACUGAUUGCGAAGGCGGCCUGCUGGACUGUAACUGACGCUGAUGCUCGAAAGUGUGGGGAUCAAACAGGAUUAGAUACCCGAGUAGUC
RNAcentral lists this ribosomal RNA (440 nucleotides) under uncultured bacterium. Its description in RNAcentral is "partial 16S ribosomal RNA". It matches the Rfam family "Bacterial small subunit ribosomal RNA", at positions 338 to 795 of the family's 1533-position model. The record is from RNAcentral.